RNAcentral lists this ribosomal RNA (463 nucleotides) under Vreelandella stevensii. RNAcentral's name for it is "partial 16S ribosomal RNA". It matches the Rfam family "Bacterial small subunit ribosomal RNA", at positions 339 to 795 of the family's 1533-position model. The record is from RNAcentral. Lineage: Bacteria; Pseudomonadati; Pseudomonadota; Gammaproteobacteria; Oceanospirillales; Halomonadaceae.
CUACGGGAGGCUGCAGUGGGGAAUAUUGGACAAUGGGCGAAAGCCUGAUCCAGCCAUGCCGCGUGUGUGAAGAAGGCCUUCGGGUUGUAAAGCACUUUCAGUGGGGAAGAAAGCCUUGGGGCUAAUACCCUCGAGGAAGGACAUCACCCACAGAAGAAGCACCGGCUAACUCCGUGCCAGCAGCCGCGGUAAUACGGAGGGUGCGAGCGUUAAUCGGAAUUACUGGGCGUAAAGCGCGCGUAGGCGGUCUGAUAAGCCGGUUGUGAAAGCCCCGGGCUCAACCUGGGAACGGCAUCCGGAACUGUCAGGCUAGAGUGCAGGAGAGGAAGGUAGAAUUCCCGGUGUAGCGGUGAAAUGCGUAGAGAUCGGGAGGAAUACCAGUGGCGAAGGCGGCCUUCUGGACUGACACUGACGCUGAGGUGCGAAAGCGUGGGUAGCAAACAGGAUUAGAUACCCUUUAGUC